This 796-nucleotide ribosomal RNA is filed under the name Meyerozyma guilliermondii. Its description in RNAcentral is "eukaryotic LSU rRNA". The stretch from base 202 to 355 matches the Rfam family "5.8S ribosomal RNA". Lineage: Eukaryota; Fungi; Ascomycota; Pichiomycetes; Serinales; Debaryomycetaceae. The record is from RNAcentral.
CUUCCGUAGGUGAACCUGCGGAAGGAUCAUUACAGUAUUCUUUUGCCAGCGCUUAACUGCGCGGCGAAAAACCUUACACACAGUGUCUUUUUGAUACAGAACUCUUGCUUUGGUUUGGCCUAGAGAUAGGUUGGGCCAGAGGUUUAACAAAACACAAUUUAAUUAUUUUUACAGUUAGUCAAAUUUUGAAUUAAUCUUCAAAACUUUCAACAACGGAUCUCUUGGUUCUCGCAUCGAUGAAGAACGCAGCGAAAUGCGAUAAGUAAUAUGAAUUGCAGAUUUUCGUGAAUCAUCGAAUCUUUGAACGCACAUUGCGCCCUCUGGUAUUCCAGAGGGCAUGCCUGUUUGAGCGUCAUUUCUCUCUCAAACCCCCGGGUUUGGUAUUGAGUGAUACUCUUAGUCGGACUAGGCGUUUGCUUGAAAAGUAUUGGCAUGGGUAGUACUAGAUAGUGCUGUCGACCUCUCAAUGUAUUAGGUUUAUCCAACUCGUUGAAUGGUGUGGCGGGAUAUUUCUGGUAUUGUUGGCCCGGCCUUACAACAACCAAACAAGUUGACCUCAAAUCAGGUAGGAAUACCCGCUGAACUUAAGCAUAUCAAUAAGCGGAGGAAAGGAUCAUUACAGUAUUCUUUUGCCGCGCUAAACUGCGCGGCGAAAACUUACACACAGUGUCUUUUUGAUACAGAACUCUGCUUUGGUUUGGCCUAGAGAUGGUUGGGCCAGAGGUUUAACAAACAAAUUUAUUAUUUUACGUUGUCAAUUGAAUUAUCUUAAACUUCACACGACUUGGUUCUGCAC